Molecule: long non-coding RNA, 9701 nt
Filed under: Marmota monax (woodchuck)
Lineage: Eukaryota; Metazoa; Chordata; Mammalia; Rodentia; Sciuridae
Rfam family: mir-1302 microRNA precursor family (bases 4552-4603)
Source: RNAcentral
GUGAGCCUCAUAUUUGCCAUUUUAUUUUUUUUAUUUAUUUUUUUUUAUUUUAUUAUUUUUUAAAAAAAUAUUUAUUUAUUUAUUUAUUUUAGUUUUUUAGGCGGACACAACAUCUUUGUUUGUAUGUGGUGCUGAGGAUCGAACCCGGGCCGCACGCACGCCAGGCGAGCACGCUACCACUUGAGCCACAUCCCCAGCCCCAAUAUUUUGUUUAUUUUUAUUGUUUGCUACUGGGUAUUGAACCUAGUAGCAAACUAAUAGUACUGUGCCUAAUUACUGGGCCACAUCCCCACUCCUUUUGUUUUUUUAUUUUGAGAUAGGGUCUUGGUAAGUUGCUUAUAGCCUUGCUAAAUUGCUGAGGCUGGCCUCAAACUUGCAAUCCUCCUGUCAGCCUCCCUAUUUGCUGGGAUUAGAGGCAUGCAUCACUAUACCCAGCUUAUAUUUGCCAUUUAAAAGCUUGUCAUAUUAUUCCUUCAAACAGAUAGGCCAGGGUUUAUUCGUCCACCUGUCACUUGGAACCUAGAUAGUUCCCACUUCGUGCUAUUAUAGAUAUUAUCAACCCUUUUUAAAACACGGUUUUAAAAUAAUCUUUGGAAAUAUUUCCUUAGGACAAAUUGCCAGAAGUGGAUUCAGGAGCCAAAAGACAGGAAUAGGUUUUCCUGUUCCUGUUACUUAAGGUUAAGUCAUCCUGAAAAAAGAUAAAACCAACUCACAGAGAUUGUCCAUGUAUUCACUUCUGGUCUGAAAUAGGAAAGGAACACGGAAACAGUGCCAGCGAGAUGACAAGGCGCUCUUUGCUGAGCCAGGCAGCAUUUGCUGGAAGGGGCUGGACUUUUUUUCUAUGGGAAUAUUCUCCACUGAUAUCCCAAUCCUCUGAUUGUCUGUUUAUGUAGGGCUGCCCCACCCCGGCCUCAGCUGCCUUUGCAGGAAUUGUGCAGUUGCAGUUAAUCCAGAGCUGGGCAAGUUCUAGAAUCUCGAAUGAAUUCCCAAGAGUCCAAUGCCUGUGAUGGGGCUGGGCAUGGGGGGGGGGGGCUGUGGUGUGUGUAAUAAAUGUUUACCUGAACUAGGCAGCGUGGCCUGCUGGAGGGAGCUCUGUACCAGCCAGGCAGGCUCUGCUUCAACCUGCUGACUCAACAGGUACUUCCCCCACCUGGAUGACAGAGAUAUUAUGCAAUUUUAGAUAACAUUCCUUUGACUCGGAACUUUGACUCUUGAUAAAAUAUGGGACUUCUGGGAGAGGGCACAGUACUAUUUAUAUCCCAGGUGAAGUGUUUUACUAAAGCUGACUCUGAGAAUAGACCUAGUUGUGGGUAGAAGAUACAAAGCAUCAUGAAGAUGCUGGAAAGCAAGUGAAGGAGCCCAGGAAGUGGGUGAAGCUCUGAGCUUGGCCUUCUGUAGUUCAUAAAAUCUCCUAAAACCUUCUCUAGUCUAGGAGGACAGCGCACCUGGGUGGGAGGUAUAGACAAGCCCUCCUGGUUGUCUGGUAUAGACAGAGACUUAGGAUGGACAUUCCCUGCUGGGUUUGAGAACUGAGCUGCAGAUUCCAGUAGAUUUGCCCCAGAAAACCCAUCCCAGCCAGAUACCAGUGAUUGGCCUUCACAGUUAUCAUCAAAAUGAUGCUGUGGUUUCUGCUUUGCUGUGACUCUGAAAGGGGAAGCAUCACCGUGAUUUAAUCUUUUGGCAUCUGUUUAACCAAAUUAAAGUACAACUGGUUGCUAACAGGGUAUGUAAUACUUAUAAAAUAGUAAAAAUACAUCUAGCCCAGCACAGUGACGCAUGCUGUAAUCCCAGUGGCUCUAAAGGCUGAGAUGGGAGGAACUCAAGUUCAAAGCCAGCCUCAGCAGUUUAGUGAGUCCCUAAGCAAUUUAGCAAGACACUGUCUUAAAACAUAAAAAGACCUGGGAAUGUUACUGAACGGUUAAGCACCCCAGAUUCAAUCCCCAGCACUUAAAAAAAAAAAAAAAGAAUACAUAUAGUUGAUUCCUUUUUCACAGAUUUAAUCUUUAGCUCAGUUCAGUAUAGUAGGUUGUGGCUCAGAUCAAGAUCUCCUCUCAGAUUCUAUCUCCUUUUCUGCUUCCUCUCUUUUGAGGGAUUCUACCCAUUCUAUUUUCUCCCCCCUAGGAUAUACCAAGCUUGUUUUUGUCCUAGAGGCAUCCCCUCCACUGCUCCCUCUCCUUGACCUUCCCAAGGCUGUCUCCUCCUCACAGGCUUCUCAAUUCUGGGCACCUUUUCCAAGAGAACUUCUGGUAAAAGUGGCCACUCUGGUAAAAGUGACAUGCUGCUCUGUGGGGUUUUCUAUGCUAUUAUCAUCAGCCUGUGUUUGCUUCUUAGCUCUGUCUUUUCCUGAAAUUGUUGUUUUACAGACAUUUACAUAAUAUAUUGUCCAUCUCCCUAACCAGAAUAUAACAUUCAUGAGAACAGCAACAGGCUUUCUGCUCUCUGAAGAAUGGAGAACAGUUCCAGCACCUACAGACAGAGGAAUUCAUCCAAGAAUUCCAGGCAGCACUGCCCUCGCUCUUCUUCCCUUUGCUUCCUCCUCCUAAGUGAGACAUAUAUAUCUCUCCCGAUUGAGAGCCAGGCAGGGUGGGCCUGGGCUGCGUGCAGAUGGGGACUCUUGCCUAACUUAGCAACUUCGCUUAUGGCAUGAUUUGGGCCACCUCCUACCCAAAUCUCCAGAAGUAGCAGACUUGGUCUGUGGGCCUCCAGGAGCUGAGCGGGGCCCACUGGGAAGAAGUUCAUAGAGACAGACUUUAGUUCAAUAUAAAAAGAACUUUUGGGUGGGGCCCAGAGGAGGCAGAAUGGUCAUGUUGCCACUUUCCUGUGCUGGCUCCCCACUUUGUGACCAUGGUCCAUUCUCCACUCUCUGCCUCUGCAUCGCCUGCCACCAGCCAGCUCAUGGAGGUCAGUGGUCCGGAAUGAUGCUGCAGCACAGAUACGGGUGAUUCUGCAUCACUGAGGGAACUAGACCAGAUGGUCUCUAUGGGCCAUUUUGUCUCCUGUGUCAGGGGUUUGGCUCAGAACCAUUCAUUUUUAAUCCAUGUUCUGUGGACUGCAGGGCCUCCAGGGAGAAAAGGGUGACGGACUGGAUUAAGCUGUUAAUGGUGUGCCAAGGUUAAAGCUUGGGGACCCAAACGCCAGAGAACUGGUUGGUGACCACAUCCGCCCACCUGCUGUUUGCUUAGCACAGAAAGUUGAUCAUCUGCAUCAGGAAUGUGGCUCAUAGCAGUUCCAGGCCUGGUUCUGCUGCCAAGUUAUUGUGUGAGCUUAAAUAUAUCCUUUCCUUCUCUUCUGGAAGACUGAGAAUAUUUGGGUUAGACCUCGUUGCUUUGUCUCUUCUGACUUUAACAUCUAGGAUUCUAUCAGUGAACCUCAAACAUGAAAAAAUCAGGCCUUUUGCAAGGGCUCAUGCCUAGGUUCUAUUCUUCAGCAGCUCAUCUUUCUUUGUUGAUAGCCUGGAACAGAAUCAAGACCUCUAACCUCCAUCAUCAGUAGCUCAAGGCUUCUCAGAGUGUUUGAGUGUCUAUUCACAGCUCUGACUGGGCAGAUGACACAGCUAUGGACAGAUCACACACUUGUGUCCAAAGGUGUCCAUCAUAAGAGAUGUGUCUAGCAGCUCCCCGGAACCAGACUCUUAAUAUGGAGGGCAAGAGGGGGAUUUUGCAUAUCCAGGUGAUAGUGCAGUGAAUCCUUGGGCAGCACUGAUGACAAGGAGUCUUUUCAUGAUACCGCAUGGUCAUUUCAUGAUGUUUCAGUCUAUUAUUCUCCCCUGAAACUCAUCUUAAUUUAUCUUUGGCACAACCUGAAGGGAGAAUAGAGAAGCCUAACCCUGUAUUCUGCAACCAAUCUCUGACCUGAACCAGGUCUUUUUCUUUCACCUUGUAGGUUCCUGUAGGAAUGAAAGGCUCAAGCCAAUGUGAUAGUACACAUCUGUAAUCCAGCGGUUCAAGAGACUGAGGCAGGAGGAUUGCAACUUUGAGGCCAGCCUCAGCAACUUAGUGAGACCCUGUCUCAAAAAUAAAAAAGGGGUGGGGAUGCAGCUCAGUGGUAGAAUGUCCCUGAGUUCAAUCCCCAGUAUGUGAGGGUGGGAGGCUCAAAAUGCCCAGUGCUUGAGGAAACAUUUCACAAGCAUCUUCUCUGAACUAACUCCAACGCUCUAACUUGGCAAGUGGAGAUUAAAACUGAACUUAUUAACUUUUUAAUGCUUUGUACCUCUCUCCCUCCCCACACACAAACACAAACAGGGUAUAGAUUCUUAGAGGAAUAGACUUUUCAUGACACAUAUAUCUUUUAGAUCACUGUUAACAGCAUGGAUAUACUGGCUUUAAAGGAAUAUAUUUCUCAUGUUUAAAAAAAAAUUGAAUACUUAAAAAAAAAAAAAAAAAGGACCAGACAUAGUCCCUAAUCUCAAGGAUUUUGGAUAAAUCAUUUUACCUCUUUGAGUCUCAAUUCUGCAAAAUGGGUUAAACUGAUCCUGUCUAAGGUUGCCAAAUUUAGUGAAUAAAAUUACAGGAUAUCUAGUUAUAUUUGAACUUCAGAUAAAUGAUGAAUGAUAUUUUAAUAUAAGUAUGUUCCAUGCAAUACUUGGGGCAUACUUAUACUAAAAUUAUUUAUCAUUUAUCUGAAAUUCAAGUUUAACUAGGCAUCUUGCAUUUUUAUCUGGCAGUCCUAUCCCUGUUCAAACUAGGUUAGGACUUUAAUGAAUAACAGAAGGAAUAAUUUGUGGAUUAAUAAUGAAUGGAAGUCUUUAUGGUUUACAGAGUUCUGUGUCAGCAGGAAGGGUUUUGGUUGCGUGACUUUGAUGAAAAGGGGUCUCUUGCAGGCCUGAGUCUGCAAGACAUGAGAACCUGGAGACUCCCAAGACAUGAGAAAAAUCAAUGCUGCAUCCAUAUGAAUUCCUUUUAUUCUGGGACAGGGGAUUCAAAACCUAUGGUAUAAGGGCUGGGGUUGUGGCUCAGAGAUUAGAGCAUUUGCCUUGCAUGUGUGAGGCACUGAGUCUGAUUCUCAGCACUGUAUAUAAAUAAAUGAAUAAAAUAAAAGUCCAUCAACAACUUUAAAAAAAAAAACUCUAAAAACCUAUGACAUAGGGAGGACCCUGGAGCAGCACGUGAGAAAACCAUAGGAUUUUGGCUCAUAGGAAACUCAAAACAGGACCCCUUAAGGGUAUCAACUACAUCUGAGUUUUCCCACUACAUCCUCGGAAGUACAGUGUCUAGAAUGCUGUCGCUACUCAGACUCUCCCCGCAAGGUUGAAGGGGAUGCAAUGGACUGGAUUCGAGGGUUUUGACACCAGAGUCCAGGUAGGAGCUGGAAGAAUGGGAAGCAUUUGACCCAGACCAUGUGGACAUAGGGUCAUAGGCCAUAGGCUUCCCAUCCAGCGUGGAUUUUGCUUUCUGGAAGGUGUCACUUCCAACCAUGGUGGCUUUUUGCUUUGGUAGACAGCCCCAAACAGAUAUUCCUUUUCAAUCCCUGCCCUGUCUAGAGGAGCAGAAGGCCACCAGCAUCAGUUGUUCAAAAUGUGAAGGUUGGAAAAGCCCUGGGAAUCAUCAGUCUUCUGUCCUUGCAUCUUAGAGAUGGGGAAGCUAAAGACAAAGCUGGGGAAGGACAUACCCACGGCCAUGUGAAAGCUAGGGGUGGAUCUGGGACUGGAGCCCAUACCUGCUGUUUUGCAGCUCUGGGUCAGGAUCACAGCAACCCAUUCUCUCCUAGGAUCCCCUCUGUUGGGCAGUCCCCAUCCUGCUACAAGCAAGUCACUGCCCUCCAAGGCCAAUGAUCCCUUCUCACGGGGCAGGGGGGACAGCUAUUUAAAAUCAUGAUGAUAAUCUGCUUGGGGGACAGUAUUUUCUAAUUUGCAAGAUCCAUUCAGGUACCUCCAUGUCGAUUUUCUUCCCUCUCAUCACAUCCCACUGCCUCACACCCUACAUCUUCUAUACUUGCUGUCAGCUCCAAACGUGCAGUGCCUGUCCCACAGGCAGGCAGUGUGGCUCUGCCACAACAAGUUAUGUGAUCUUGUACAAGUGAUGGAACAGAGGUUAACUGUGCCUCAGUUUCCUCAUCCAUAAAGUGGGGGUAAUAAUAACGGUAUGCCUCAUAGGAUUUUUAUGUGAGAGUUGACUAAUUGUGCCUCUGAAAGCACAUGCUCAGGGCUUAAUGCAUCAGCUCCUACUGUUAGACUACUACUGUAUUUCAGAGCUCUUCUUAUUCCUUUUCCUCCUUCAAGACUCAACUCAACUUUCCCUGCCCUAGGAAGGUUUCUUUGACCCUUUCCCUUCAGUGGAGUUAGAUGUUCUUUAGCAUUUAUUGUACUUAUUUAAAUAUAUUAUAUUUGCCUAUUUUCUGGUCUGUCUCCCUGACUUAGCUAUGAUCACCAUCCCCAUUUUUAUCCCCAAUGCCAAGCAUAAGAUCAGGCAGGUGUUUGUGCUUAAUGAUAUUUGUUGAAUGGAUGAAUGAGUGAGUGAGUGAGUGAUCCCUUUGAUUCCCAAAUCUUAGCCAUUCUUGAUGUCUAUCUCUCACCCCACAUCCAAUCCAAUAGCACGUUUGGACAAUCCCACUUCCAGAACAGAUCCUGAAUCUGCCUCCAGGCCAGUCUAUGCCACCAUCCUCUCACUGCUGGCCCUCUCCGCAUCUGUGGCUUCUGAGUUUCCAUCCCUGCUGCCCUCAUCCUCUCUCAUCCCCCUGCCUAAAACUCUGCCUUCAAUUCUUAUGAAUAGAAUCUAGUCUUCUUGUGGAGCUGUGGAGCCCUGCAGUAUCUUACUGGUACCUCUCUCUCCUGCAUUUCACAUGCUUCACUCAAUUUCAUCUCUUUAUCCUCCUCAAAAUCUCACACUUGCUGUUCCUUCUUGUUUUGCAGAGUUGACUCCUCUUCCUUCUCCUUUUUCUCCUCCUCCUCCUCCUCCUCCUCCUUCUUUUCUUCUUCUUCUUUUUUUUUUUUUUUUUUUAAUUUUGCAGUUCUGGGGAUUGAAGCCAGAGUCUCAUGCAUGCUAGGUAAGUGCUCUACCUCUGACCUACAUCUGCAACCCUUUCUUUUGAUUUCAGGUGGAAUAGUACAUCCUCAAAGAGACUUUCCCUGACCAUGCUGAGGGAAUGUCUUUCUGCAUCAUAAUACCCCUUUAAUCUCAUUUGUAGUAUUUAUCAUAAUCCAUAAAUAUCUUGAUUGUUUACCCAUUUAUUCAUUAAUUGGUUUAUCUCGCUUGCUAUAUUGUAAGCACCGUAAGUGCAAGUCCCUUACUUUGUUGUCUUGUUUACUAGAAUGUCUCUUGGUCAGAGCUUAAUACCUUUUUGCUGAAUGAAUGAAUGAAUCCUCCUUGAACAUAAUAGGUAGAGCAGGCAUUAGAUGCAGAUUUUACAGAUGACAAAACUGGAGUUUAGAGAGGUCGAUUCUUGCUGUAGGUAGCAUAGGCUGGACAUGGUACAGCUAGGUCCACAAGAUCAUGGACUUUUCCCAUCAGAACAGAAAGGAGAUGGACACUGUGCUGGGAAUCCAGCUUGGUAGAUUCAUAGACUAGUUCCCCAAUGUGGGACUGGAUGAGUAAGAUUCCAAAGCUCCUGCUUCUUAAAGAGUUAGUGCUGCCAGCGUGAGGCGAAGGAUUACAUCCAGUUCCAAAUUCCAGUCUGCACUUGAGGCAUUGCACACACCCAACAAACACCCAAUGAUCAUAAGAACAGUGCAAUGAUUGUUUGAGAAAGGAAAUGAGACCCACAGGCUUGAUCUCAACCUUCUUCAGAAUUUGUUCUAAUUUGGGCUUGAUGGAAUGAGAAAGACAUUUCUAGUUUCCUUACAUGAAUGUGGCCUAAUUUGGAAGAUUUUGUCAUUCCCAAGGCCCCCACUGCUGCUUGAGAGCAGACCUUGAUUAUUGUCAUUAUUUAAAAUACUGCCUUCACCAUUGAUAAUAGGCUGGCAGCAGGGUACCAUUUCUGUGAUUCUAGGAGGAAAGUUCCUGGAGGGGAUGCCCAGUGACAUAAAGAAAGCUCUGGAACAGAAGUCAGAGGGUGGGAAGGCCCAUGGUGUCCAGCUGGUAGGCUGGAGACCUCUAACUGGCCCUUAGCUGCCUCUUACGUAAGGAAGGAUCUGGGUAUGAUAGUGGCUUGUACUCAGAGGGUUAGGGUCUGAUCCUGGUUCUGUUGCUAGUUUUCAGUGUGAGAUCUUGUCAGGGUCUUUUCCUUCUGUGGUUCUGAAUGCAAUUGUAGGGGCUGAUGCUUGUGUCCCCAUGCCAUCCCUAUAGUUGCUCUUUGUGUGGUCUUUUUUGGGGAAACUUACUCCCUUAAAAUUUGGUUUCCUUACCACCCAGCCCUCAGAAGCCAGUAUGAAAUUGACAUGGCUACCUUAACAUAUUUCCAACAAAGGGCAUAGUAGUCCCUAAGGCCUGCUUCUCAGGGCACUUCGGUAGAAAGAGGGGUCAAGUGUCCACUCCUGCCAAGCACUCUCUCAGCCCUGUUGCUGCCCUCUGUCAAGCAUGUGCUCCAAGGGAGGCUCUUGGGAUGGGGGUGGGGAGGCACUGAGGGUAUGAAAGGAGGGGAGUAUGACUCUUCUGAGAGUCUAGAAGUUCUGAGCAUAGAACCCCAAGGACACUGUACCCUCCUGGCCUUGACCCAUUAUGUGGAAAGACAUGUAGGAAAAUCAGAUAUGUACCAGUGUCUUUUGAGUGUUUUCAGUGGGGCAGACUUUGGCUCAAUGGUUUACAUACAUUGUUUUAUUUGACCUUGAACUCUGUGAGGUAAAUAUGAGGAUCCCCAUUUCUACAGAGGAAGAAAUUGAAACACAGAGUUGAAGUUACUUGUCCAAGGUUAUACAACUAGGAUGAUCAGGAUUGAGCCCAGCAGGCUUUACUGCUAAAUUAUUGUCUCUGCUAAUUAACAAUAAUGAUAAAAAAUAAUUAAAAUGGAGGAAGUGCAGUUAGCAGCUGUGGAAAGCACUUGAGGUCUAAAGUUCUACUUAUUAGCUUAGUAACUAUGGGCAAGUUAUUUGACUACUUUGAGUGAUAAUAUACUUGCUUAUAAAUUAGAGGUAAUUUCUUCUUCUACUUCACAGUAUAACAUUAGAGGAGACCAUGUAUGUAAAGUGUUUCAAGUUGAUGCCUGAUACAUUAUUAAUUGCUUGUUGUUACUGUUUCUAUCACUACUGCUGCUAUUGCUACUACCUUCUCUCCACCUUGUUCCAAAGCUCAAGAGCUCUGUUUGCUGUGCACCUGUUAGUGAUCCCUUUUAUUACAAUGAUAGAAACCUAAGAGAAUGAGUUAUUUGUGAACCUUCAACCUCAUUCCUCCCCCAAAUGGUUCACAUUCUUUGCUCUACAGCCAACUCUGAUGAAGGGCCAGGGUUUGACUUGGUGCCCACUGUGAAUGACGUCCUCCAUUAGAUCUUCAAGAACUGCAGCAAAUGCUUUUCUGGUCUUAUUUUAGCAUCAGGGAGACUUUGAAGCAGAAUUUCAAUAUUUAGUUUUCUCACUUGGAGAUGGUGCUUGCAAUUAAUGUGGGUUUGUAGCUUGGGUCUUUCUUUUCAUCUUAAGAGAUGCCAGGGGGUAGAUCAACGAUGUGGUUGUCUGACAUAUCCUGAGAUUCAAAUGAGUCCUGUUGUUGGUUAUUACUAAAUCUGAGAGUACUGUGUACUCGUUGUAAAAAAAAUUUGGAAAAUGAGGGCAAAUAUGAAGGAGAAAAAUGUAAAAUACCCAUAAUGCAAUCACUCUGAAAUAAAGAAUUUAAUGUUUU